UGCAGUCGAGCGGGCGAGGUUGCUUCGGUAACUGAGCUAGCGGCGGACGGGUGAGUAAUGCUUAGGAAUCUGCCUAUUAGUGGGGGACAACAUUCCGAAAGGAAUGCUAAUACCGCAUACGUCCUACGGGAGAAAGCAGGGGAUCUUCGGACCUUGCGCUAAUAGAUGAGCCUAAGUCAGAUUAGCUAGUUGGUGGGGUAAAGGCCUACCAAGGCGACGAUCUGUAGCGGGUCUGAGAGGAUGAUCCGCCACACUGGGACUGAGACACGGCCCAGACUCCUACGGGAGGCAGCAGUGGGGAAUAUUGGACAAUGGGCGGAAGCCUGAUCCAGCCAUGCCGCGUGUGUGAAGAAGGCCUUUUGGUUGUAAAGCACUUUAAGCGAGGAGGAGGCUACCUGGAUUAAUACUCUAGGAUAGUGGACGUUACUCGCAGAAUAAGCACCGGCUAACUCUGUGCCAGCAGCCGCGGUAAUACAGAGGGUGCGAGCGUUAAUCGGAUUUACUGGGCGUAAAGCGUGCGUAGGCGGCUUUUUAAGUCGGAUGUGAAAUCCCUGAGCUUAACUUAGGAAUUGCAUUCGAUACUGGGAAGCUAGAGUAUGGGAGAGGAUGGUAGAAUUCCAGGUGUAGCGGUGAAAUGCGUAGAGAUCUGGAGGAAUACCGAUGGCGAAGGCAGCCAUCUGGCCUAAUACUGACGCUGAGGUACGAAAGCAUGGGGAGCAAACAGGAUUAGAUACCCUGGUAGUCCAUGCCGUAAACGAUGUCUACUAGCCGUUGGGGCCUUUGAGGCUUUAGUGGCGCAG
RNAcentral lists this ribosomal RNA (800 nucleotides) under Acinetobacter sp. 20-4. RNAcentral describes it as "bacterial SSU rRNA". It matches the Rfam family "Bacterial small subunit ribosomal RNA", at positions 56 to 851 of the family's 1533-position model. Lineage: Bacteria; Pseudomonadati; Pseudomonadota; Gammaproteobacteria; Moraxellales; Moraxellaceae. The record is from RNAcentral.